AGUGGUGGUAGUGCUAAUAAACCAAACUGACGUGUCUUUUAACCUCAAAAACAACGUUUCAGUAAACACCACUUGUGAAGAAAAAAGAUGUUGAUGAACCACGAUUUUCAUCAUUUUUCCCAGUAUCGUCAGUGAUUGAUAAGGGGUAGGAAGUGCGCGUGAAAAUAGUGUAGACGUUCCACGUACAGAAACACCUGCAAUUAGCCGCAGCAAUGAGCGAUAAACCCAAGACACGGUUCCUAAUUUAUGCUCUGGGUAUUUUCUUCUGUUACUUCGUAUUCGGGAUUCUACAGGAGAAAAUCACCCGAGGCCGGUAUGGGGAUGAAGUUAAUGAGGAUGGUAGUCGCGGGGAACGAUUCACCUUUGCUCUGGCCCUCGUGGGGGUGCAGUGUGUUGUAAAUUGGGCCUUUGCAAAGGGAAUGCUGCUUGUGUGGCAACAGAAGAAGGAUGAAACUCAUCCGGGGUACUAUGCCAGCUGUUCCUUGACAUACCUCCUGGCUAUGGUGGGUUCCAAUAUGGCUCUCCGAUGGGUACCGUAUCCAACACAGGUGGUUGGAAAGGCAGCAAAACCCAUUCCUGUGAUGAUCCUUGCUGUUCUCAUUGGACGCAAAUCAUACCCACUGUCCAGGUACCUGUGUGUCCUCACCAUAGUGCUGGGUGUUGUGCUCUUCAUGUACAAGGAUGGCAAGAGUAGUGCCGUGGAUGAGGAGGGAACAGGGCUCGGGGAACUCCUUCUAAUUCUCAGCCUGGCAAUGGAUGGACUCACGGGGGCGAUUCAGGAGAGAAUGAGAGCUUCCAGUGCCCCAUCGGCACAGCAUAUGAUGCUGGCUAUGAAUGGCUGGAGUAGUGCAAUGGUUGCCAUUCCUCUCGUUAUUUCCGGAGAAGCUCUGAGCUUCAUUCAAUUCACCAUUAACCAUCCAAUUCUCAUCUGGCAUUUAACCACUCUUGCUCUCACAGGAGCUCUCGGGCAGCUCUUUAUCUUCCUCAUGGUCUCUGGCUUUGGUCCUUUGGCUUGUUCUGUGGUCACGACAACAAGAAAAUUCUUCACGGUACUGUUCUCUGUGCUGAUCUUCGGCAAUCCCCUCAUCCCAAGGCAAUGGGCUGGAGCUAUUCUCGUCUUCUUGGGCCUCUUCAGUGACAUAUUCAUCAACAAGAAACCCCCAGCACCACCACAAGCAACCAAGAAGCCACUCAUGAAGGAGGAGCACUAACUAAAUCAAUUUCUCUUGAAAGAAAUUCUAAACAGGAAUUGCACGACAUUUUUUUGAUUUAAUUUUUAUCAUUAUUUAUAGUGAUUUUUCUGCCUUCCACAGUCAAUAGGAAAAUAUUUUGAAUAUAAAUAUUUUUUAUGCAAAAAAUAAUAAAAUAAAAUAAAAAAAAAAGUACUCUGCGUUGAUACCACUGCUU
RNA transcript from Lutzomyia longipalpis, 1407 nucleotides. It is a transcript of the gene named solute carrier family 35 member B1 homolog, with no coding region annotated. The record is from RefSeq and is a predicted model, not a curated record. The transcript has 4 exons. Lineage: Eukaryota; Metazoa; Arthropoda; Insecta; Diptera; Psychodidae.